RNAcentral lists this transfer RNA (75 nucleotides) under Pseudomonadota bacterium. RNAcentral's name for it is "tRNA-Arg". It matches the Rfam family "tRNA". From Rfam's summary of the family: Transfer RNA (tRNA) molecules are approximately 80 nucleotides in length. RNAcentral also lists the same sequence under 1 other name. Lineage: Bacteria; Pseudomonadati; Pseudomonadota. The record is from RNAcentral.
GGGCGAUUAGCUCAGCCUGGAUAGAGCGUUGGCCUCCGGAGCCAAAGGUCAUGGGUUCGAAUCCCAUAUCGCCCU